RNAcentral lists this ribosomal RNA (414 nucleotides) under Goeppertia leucostachys. Its description in RNAcentral is "eukaryotic LSU rRNA". The stretch from base 311 to 414 matches the Rfam family "Eukaryotic large subunit ribosomal RNA", at positions 1 to 104 of the family's 3401-position model. The record is from RNAcentral. Lineage: Eukaryota; Viridiplantae; Streptophyta; Magnoliopsida; Zingiberales; Marantaceae.
UGGUGUGAAUUGCAGAAUCCCGCGAACCAUUGAGUCUUUGAACGCAAGUUGCGCCCGAGGCUUUCCCGCCGAGGGCACGCCUGCCUGGGCGUCACGCCNUCNUNNCNCCNCGCCCCCUCGCACGAGUGGCGGCGUCGGACGCAGACAUUGGCCCCCUGCGCCCUCGGGCGUGGUCGGCCGAAGAGAGGGGCCGUCGUUGGUGGUCGGACACGACGGAUGGUGGCCACGAGCAAGCCGGACGUCGUGCCCCCGCCGUGGAGAUGAGCUCCGGAGGACCCCCCACCCCCGCAUAAUCGUUUGCCUCGGAUUGCGACCUCAGGUCAGGCGGGGCUACCCGCUGAGUUUAAGCAUAUAAAUAAGCGGAGGAGAAGAAACUUACGAGGAUUCCUAUAGUAACGGCGAGCGAAUCGGGAU